This 30-nucleotide non-coding RNA is filed under the name Mus musculus (house mouse). Lineage: Eukaryota; Metazoa; Chordata; Mammalia; Rodentia; Muridae. The record is from RNAcentral.
UNGGAGCCUGAUCCAGAGAGAAAGAGGGGA